GCGUGUGAGUGGUGAUUGGACGGCAUGGGUUUGCAGGCUCCUUGCUCGUGCAUCGAACUGGAAGCUCUCCGUCCUCUUCAUGGUUUUCCCCGAGCACGUCCAUUGACUUGCGGGUGCUACCGGCGGUAUCCUGUAUUGCUUACCGAUGCAACGGAAUUUGAUGGUUUCGGUCCCUGCAUCCGCCCGGCACCCGUGAGGGUGUUGGGCGGACGACAAGUUGGCCUCGUGUUCCUGGCACGCCUUGCCUUGCUGUUUGGUUGCCACGGCGCACGGGGUUGUGCCCGUUCUCUCGGAUACGGAUCGUUACGUGCGGGCGGGGGGUUACGGCCUCUAUCCGUCCGCGAUAUGCAUUUGUCCCUCGACACGAACGACCGCCGCACCGGUCUUGGCUCGAGAGCCGCACGGUUCUGCGAGGACCCAUGCGGGUGUUGGCGUCGUUUAGGAAUGC
This 448-nucleotide unclassified non-coding RNA is filed under the name Exothea diphylla. RNAcentral's name for it is "partial external transcribed spacer". Lineage: Eukaryota; Viridiplantae; Streptophyta; Magnoliopsida; Sapindales; Sapindaceae. The record is from RNAcentral. RNAcentral also lists the same sequence under 1 other name.